GCGAGAUGUGGUCGGGGAGGCAGUGUGGUAUGGAGGAUGAUAGCGUUGUCCGGAGUAUGUGAGAGUAAGUGGUUCGGAGGGAGUUUGGUAAGUAGAGUGUUAAAGACUGGUGCGAUACCGCGGAAAUGCAUGGGAAACGGGCAGACGCGAGUGUGAUAGAGGCAAUCGGGAUGCCAGGUGUAGCGGUGAAAUGCGUAGAGAGCUGGAAGAACACCGGUGGCGCAAGCGGAGUGCUGGGCCAUAACAGACGCUGAGGAACGGAAGCUAGGGUAGCGAAUGGGAAUAGAUACCCCAGUAGUC
This 300-nucleotide ribosomal RNA is filed under the name uncultured Lactobacillus sp. Its description in RNAcentral is "bacterial SSU rRNA". The stretch from base 52 to 300 matches the Rfam family "Bacterial small subunit ribosomal RNA", at positions 547 to 795 of the family's 1533-position model. Lineage: Bacteria; Bacillati; Bacillota; Bacilli; Lactobacillales; Lactobacillaceae. The record is from RNAcentral.